UACGUAGGUGGCAAGCGUUGUCCGGAAUUACUGGGUGUAAAGGGCGUGUAGGCGGGGAUGUAAGUCAGAUGUGAAAUUCUGGGGCUCAACUCCAGGGCUGCAUCUGAAACUAUAUCUCUUGAGUGCUGGAGAGGAAAUCGGAAUUCCUGGUGUAGCGGUGAAAUGCGUAGAUAUCAGGAGGAACACCGGUGGCGAAGGCGGAUUUCUGGACCAGUUCUGACACUGAUGAGCGAAAGCCAGGGGAGCAAACAGG
RNAcentral lists this ribosomal RNA (253 nucleotides) under uncultured prokaryote. RNAcentral's name for it is "partial 16S ribosomal RNA". It matches the Rfam family "Bacterial small subunit ribosomal RNA", at positions 524 to 776 of the family's 1533-position model. The record is from RNAcentral.